This is a long non-coding RNA of Pipra filicauda (Wire-tailed manakin), 249 nucleotides long. RefSeq lists it as uncharacterized. The record is from RefSeq and is a predicted model, not a curated record. Lineage: Eukaryota; Metazoa; Chordata; Aves; Passeriformes; Pipridae. The transcript is spliced from 3 exons.
AAAACCUGCUCACUUUUGAGCCAAGAUCUUGAGGAACUUCUGAACUGGUUUCGAGUAAAAACAGCCUUAUGAUUGUGGAAAGACUGUGCAAAAGUAUGGGGAAAAUAGCUGAAGGAAUUCAACACCUCAUUCUGGAGUCCAUAUGAAAUGUCUGAGAGACUCUUAAACUUUAUGCAGCAAAGAUUUUUAUGGCCAUGAUACACAAUCUAAUGUAUUACUACAGUGAAAACCUCUAGGAUUGAAACCAGA